RNAcentral lists this transfer RNA (64 nucleotides) under Cavia porcellus (domestic guinea pig). It matches the Rfam family "tRNA", at positions 1 to 62 of the family's 71-position model. Rfam says of the family: Transfer RNA (tRNA) molecules are approximately 80 nucleotides in length. Lineage: Eukaryota; Metazoa; Chordata; Mammalia; Rodentia; Caviidae. The record is from Rfam by way of RNAcentral.
GGGGAUUUAGCUCAGUGGCAUGAGCGCCUGCCUUGCAAGCAGGCGGUCAUGAGUUUGAUCCCUG